RNAcentral lists this ribosomal RNA (498 nucleotides) under uncultured bacterium. RNAcentral's name for it is "partial 16S ribosomal RNA". It matches the Rfam family "Bacterial small subunit ribosomal RNA", at positions 28 to 507 of the family's 1533-position model. The record is from RNAcentral.
GACGAACGCUGGCGGCGUGCCUAAUACAUGCAAGUCGAACGAGAGCGACCGGUGCUUGCACUGUUCAAUCUAGUGGCGCACGUGUGAGUAACACGUGGGUAACCUGCCCAUCAUAGGGGGAUAACAUCCGGAAACGGAUGCUAAAACCGCAUAGGUCUUCGAUCCGCAUGGCUUGAAGUGGAAAAGAGGCGCAAGCUUCUGCUGAUGGAUGUACCCGCGGUGCAUUUUCUAGUUGGUGAGGUAACGGCUCACCAAGGCCGUGAUGCAUAGCCGACCUGAGAGGGUGAUCGGCCACAUGGGAACUGAGACACGGCACAAAGACCUACGGGAGGAAGCAGUAGGGAAGAUUACGCAAUGGACGAAAGUGUGACGGAGCAACGGCGCGUGAGAGAAGAAGGUGUUCGGAUCGUAAAACUCAGUUGUUAGAGAAGAACAAGAGCGAGAGUAACUGUUAGCGCCUUGACGGUAACUAAACAGAAAGCCACGGCUAACUACGUG